This 328-nucleotide ribosomal RNA is filed under the name Lysinibacillus xylanilyticus. RNAcentral's name for it is "bacterial SSU rRNA". It matches the Rfam family "Bacterial small subunit ribosomal RNA", at positions 1 to 317 of the family's 1533-position model. The record is from RNAcentral. Lineage: Bacteria; Bacillati; Bacillota; Bacilli; Caryophanales; Bacillaceae.
UUUAUGGAGAGUUUGAUCCUGGCUCAGGACGAACGCUGGCGGCGUGCCUAAUACAUGCAAGUCGAGCGAACAGAGAAGGAGCUUGCUCCUUCGACGUUAGCGGCGGACGGGUGAGUAACACGUGGGCAACCUACCUUAUAGUUUGGGAUAACUCCGGGAAACCGGGGCUAAUACCGAAUAAUCUAUUUUACUUCAUGGUGAAAUACUGAAAGACGGUUUCGGCUGUCGCUAUAAGAUGGGCCCGCGGCGCAUUAGCUAGUUGGUGAGGUAACGGCUCACCAAGGCGACGAUGCGUAGCCGACCUGAGAGGGUGAUCGGCCACACUGGG